Molecule: ribosomal RNA, 245 nt
Filed under: uncultured bacterium
Lineage: Bacteria
Description: partial 16S ribosomal RNA
Rfam family: Bacterial small subunit ribosomal RNA
Source: RNAcentral
AACGUAGGAGGCGAGCGUUAUCCGGAUUUACUGGGCGUAAAGCGCGUGCAGGCGGCUUGGCAAGUUGGGCGUGAAAUCUCCUGGCUUAACUGGGAGGGGUCGUCCAAUACUGCUGGGCUUGAGUGCAGGAGAGGGAAGCGGAAUUCCCGGUGUAGCGGUAAUAUGCGCAGAUAUCGGGAGGAACACCAGUGGCGAAGGCGGCUUCCUGGCCUGUUACUGACGCUAAGACGCGAAAGCUAGGGGAG